RNAcentral lists this ribosomal RNA (496 nucleotides) under uncultured bacterium. Its description in RNAcentral is "partial 16S ribosomal RNA". It matches the Rfam family "Bacterial small subunit ribosomal RNA", at positions 28 to 506 of the family's 1533-position model. The record is from RNAcentral.
GAUGAACGCUGGCGGCGUGCCUAAUACAUGCAAGUCGAGCGAACAGAUAAGGAGCUUGCUCCUUUGACGUUAGCGGCGGACGGGUGAGUAACACGUGGGUAACCUACCUAUAAGACUGGAAUAACUCCGGGAAACCGGGGCUAAUGCCGGAUAACAUUUAGAACCGCAUGGUUCUAAAGUGAAAGAUGGUUUUGCUAUCACUUAUAGAUGGACCCGCGCCGUAUUAGCUAGUUGGUAAGGUAACGGCUUACCAAGGCAACGAUACGUAGCCGACCUGAGAGGGUGAUCGGCCACACUGGAACUGAGACACGGUCCAGACUCCUACGGGAGGCAGCAGUAGGGAAUCUUCCGCAAUGGGCGAAAGCCUGACGGGGCAACGCCGCGUGAGUGAUGAAGGUCUUCGGAUCGUAAAACUCUGUUAUUAGGGAAGAACAAAUGUGUAAGUAACUGUGCACGUCUUGACGGUACCUAAUCAGAAAGCCACGGCUAACUACGU